AGUGAACGCUGGCGGCGUGCUUAACACAUGCAAGUCGAGCGGAAGUUGAAGAGCUUGCUCUUCAACUUUAGCGGCGGACGGGUGAGUAACACGUGGGCAACCUGCCCUGCAGAUCGGGAUAACUCCGGGAAACCGGUGCUAAUACCGAAUAGUUUUCGCCACCUCCUGGUGGCGUACGGAAAGACGGUUUCGGCUGUCACUGCAGGAUGGGCCCGCGGCGCAUUAGCUAGUUGGUGGGGUAACGGCCCACCAAGGCGACGAUGCGUAGCCGACCUGAGAGGGUGAUCGGCCACACUGGGACUGAGACACGGCCCAGACUCCUACGGGAGGCAGCAGUAGGGAAUCUUCCGCAAUGGACGAAAGUCUGACGGAGCAACGCCGCGUGAGUGACGAAGGUUUUCGGAUCGUAAAACUCUGUUGUGAGGGAAGAACAAGUACCAACUAACUACUGGUACCUUGACGGUACCUCACCAGAAAGCCACGGCUAACUACGUGCCAGCCGCCGCGGUAA
This 511-nucleotide ribosomal RNA is filed under the name uncultured bacterium. RNAcentral describes it as "partial 16S ribosomal RNA". It matches the Rfam family "Bacterial small subunit ribosomal RNA", at positions 29 to 523 of the family's 1533-position model. The record is from RNAcentral.